CCAGCAGCCGCGGUAAUACGUAGGGCGCAAGCGUUGUCCGGGAAUUAUUGGGCGUAAAGAGCUCGUAGGCGGUCUGUCGCGUCUGGUGUGAAAAUCCCAUGGCUCAACUGUGGGCGUGCAUCGGGUACGGGCAGACUAGAGUGCGGUAGGGGAGACUGGAAUUCCUGGUGUAGCGGUGGAAUGCGCAGAUAUCAGGAGGAACACCGAUGGCGAAGGCAGGUCUCUGGGCCGCAACUGACGCUGAGGAGCGAAAGCAUGGGGAGCGAACAGGAUUAGAUACCCUGGUAGUCCAUGCCGUAAACGUUGGGCACUAGGUGUGGGGCUCAUUCCACGAGUUCCGUGCCGCAGCUAACGCAUUAAGUGCCCCGCCUGGGGAGUACGGCCGCAAGGCUAAAACUCAAAGGAAUUGACGGGGGCCCGCACAAGCGGCGGAGCAUGCGGAUUAAUUCGAUGCAACGCGAAGAACCUUACCAAGGCUUGACAUACACCGGAAACAUCCAGAGAUGGGUGCCCCGUAAGGUCGGUGUACAGGUGGUGCAUGGUUGUCGUCAGCUCGUGUCGUGAGAUGUUGGGUUAAGUCCCGCAACGAGCGCAACCCUCAUCCUAUGUUGCCAGCGGGUUAUGCCGGGGACUCAUGGGAGACUGCCGGGGUCAACUCGGAGGAAGGUGGGGAUGACGUCAAAUCAUCAUGCCCCUUAUGUCUUGGGCUUCACGCAUGCUACAAUGGCCGGUACAGAGGGCUGCGAUACCGUAAGGUGGAGCGAAUCCCAAAAAGCCGGUCUCAGUUCGGAUUGGGGUCUGCAACUCGACCCCAUGAAGUCGGAGUCGCUAGUAAUCGCAGAUCAGCAACGCUGCGGUGAAUACGUUCCCGGGCCUUGUACACACCGCCCGUCAAGUCACGAAAGUUGGUAACACCCGAAGCUCAUGGCCCA
This 932-nucleotide ribosomal RNA is filed under the name Isoptericola sp. RNAcentral describes it as "bacterial SSU rRNA". It matches the Rfam family "Bacterial small subunit ribosomal RNA", at positions 508 to 1437 of the family's 1533-position model. Lineage: Bacteria; Bacillati; Actinomycetota; Actinomycetes; Micrococcales; Promicromonosporaceae. The record is from RNAcentral.